RNAcentral lists this ribosomal RNA (498 nucleotides) under uncultured bacterium. RNAcentral's name for it is "partial 16S ribosomal RNA". It matches the Rfam family "Bacterial small subunit ribosomal RNA", at positions 28 to 507 of the family's 1533-position model. The record is from RNAcentral.
GACGAACGCUGGCGGCGUGCCUAAUACAUGCAAGUCGAGCGGACGAUUCGAAAGCUUGCUUUUGAAUCGUUAGCGGCGGACGGGUGAGUAACACGUGGGCAACCUGCCCUGUAGACGGGGAUAACACCGAGAAAUCGGUGCUAAUACCGGAUAACACGAAAUGUCGCAUGACGUUUCGUUGAAAGGCGGCGCAAGCUGCCGCUACAGGAUGGGCCCGCGGCGCAUUGGCUAGUUGGUGAGGUAACGGCUCACCAAGGCGACGAUGCGUAGCCGACCUGAGAGGGUGAUCGGCCACACUGGGACUGAGACACGGCCCAGACUCCUACGGGAGGCAGCAGUAGGGAAUCUUCCGCAAUGGACGAAAGUCUGACGGAGCAACGCCGCGUGAGCGAAGAAGGCCUUCGGGUCGUAAAGCUCUGUUGUUAGGGAAGAACAAGUAACGUAGUAACUGACGUUACUAUGACGGUACCUAACGAGAAAGCCACGGCUAACUACGUG